CCUACGGGAGGCUGCAGUAAGGAAUAUUGGUCAAUGGACGCAAGUCUGAACCAGCCAUGCCGCGUGGAGGAUGAAGUUCCUCUGGAUUGUAAACUUCUUUUAUUUGGGAAGAAACUCCCGAUUUCCAUCGGGAUUGACGGUACCAGAUGAAUAAGCACCGGCUAACUCCGUGCCAGCAGCCGCGGUAAUACGGAGGGUGCAAGCGUUAUCCGGAUUCACUGGGGUGAAAGUGUGCAGAGGAGGCAAGGUAGAAAUCUCCGGGCUUAACCCGAAAACUGCAAUUGAUACUAUUUGUCUUGAAUACUCUGGAGGUGAGCGGAAUAUGUCAUGUAGCGGUGAAAUGCUUAGAUAUGACAUAGAACACCCAUUGCGAAGGCAGCUCACUACGGAAAUAUUGACGCUGAGGCACGAAAGCGUGGGGAUCAAACAGGAUUAGAUACCCUAGUAGUC
RNAcentral lists this ribosomal RNA (450 nucleotides) under uncultured bacterium. RNAcentral describes it as "partial 16S ribosomal RNA". It matches the Rfam family "Bacterial small subunit ribosomal RNA", at positions 338 to 795 of the family's 1533-position model. The record is from RNAcentral.